This 4204-nucleotide unclassified non-coding RNA is filed under the name Helicoverpa zea (corn earworm). Its description in RNAcentral is "patj homolog, transcript variant X1". Lineage: Eukaryota; Metazoa; Arthropoda; Insecta; Lepidoptera; Noctuidae. The record is from RNAcentral.
UUUGGUACCUACUCUGACUGACCAUCGAGUCUUUGACUCAUCCAUCAUUCAAUGUAUAAAUAUUAUUUUGAUAUUUUAUGUUCAAAUAAUUAGCUAUUCUCAGUUUUUUGGUACUUUGCAGAGCGAAAUAUAAUUAGAUAUUGAAUUAUGAAACUGGCAGUUGUGCACGAUUAUUGGUGUUGUUAAAACAGUGUCUACAAGUAGACCUUAGAAGUGUUAAUAAAUAUAGAAAAAACAUAUAUGCUUUAUUUUUACACAUAAAGCUAUUAACUGUAGACUGCAAGAGCUCCAAGAACAAAAAUUUCGUAAAAAUGCAUCUCGGAGUUAACAUAUCGAAUGCUCUACAACAAUUAGAAAGCGUAAAAGCAGCUGUAGAUCAGAGUGAUGAUCCUAAGUUAAAGGCUGCAACCAAUGAUGACUUGAAUAUGCUGAUUAAUUUGUUGGAAAGUCCCAUACUGAAAAGCAUAGCAACAUUGCAUGACUCUGUUGGAAUGCUUGCAACGCAGGUUGCUCAUCACCCUUCCAUAAUUCCUGGCGACUUUGACAUCACUCCAGCAGGUGACCUUGCUCUUCAAGCAAGGAACUUGUAUGGAGGGCAUGAAGGGGAAGAGGAACAGCGUGUGCCUCAGGUGUCACCACCUCACAGCCUGGAGUUUGGCUCCAGCUCUGAUAAUGAGCGCAUACUGGGGCUUGACAGUGGCUCUGUUGACUCCAAUAUGUCUCCUAAACAGACUCGCGGCUUACUGGACCUGUCAAGGACUGAUGAAUCCCUUGGUUCCAUGUCACACAGUAUUGUGGGCAGUGACUGGGCGCAGGUUGAAAUCAUUAACCUGGUUAAUGAUGGCACAGGAUUGGGAUUUGGUAUAAUUGGCGCAAGGACAAGUGGCGUUAUAGUUAAAACAAUUUUAGCGGGAGGCGUCGCUGACAGGGAUGGCCGUCUGAAAUCUGGUGAUCAUAUAUUGCAGAUAGGUGAUGCGCACCUGAUGGAGAUGGGGUCGGAGCAGGUGGCGGGCGUGCUGCGCGCGUCGGGCUCGCGCGUCCGCCUCGUGGUGGCGCGGGCCGCCGACCCCGCCGCGCCGCCCGGCCACGCCGCGCAUGCCCACCGUCCCGCGCCGCUCGUGCCUGCCAGAUUGCUCUCGGACCCCGAGGCUCUGGACCGCUAUCUACUGGACGCUGGCUUCGAGCAAGUGUUUCAUACUCAACCAACACCCGUUUCUCACAACUCCAACGCGUCUCGAUUCGUGUUCGACCGGUCCAUUACUCCACCACCUGAAGCAGACGCCGAAUCACCUGAGGUCGAUAGAUUCACUGUGCAGCUGAAGAAAGAUGAAAAUGGACUGGGAAUCACCAUAGCAGGCUACGUAUGCGAAAAAGAGGAGCUAUCAGGUAUAUUCGUGAAGUCCGUGACGCCGGGCAGUGCGGCGGCACUGAGCGGUAAAGUUCGCGUCAACGACCGCAUCGUCGCCGUCGACGGCGUGUCGCUCGCCGGCAAGUCUAACCAGAGAGCCGUCGAUGCCUUGAAGCAGAGCGGGAACAUUGUCACUUUGGAGUUGGAGAGAUACCUCCGCGGUCCGAAGUUCGAGCAACUCCAGCAAGCGAUAGCGGCGGGCGAGUCGGCGGCCACCGCCGCGCCGCCGCACAACCCCUUCCUGCACAUGCACCGCCCCGACUCGCUGGCGUCGCCCGAACAUGACAUACCUAUGGCGCAGCUGCAUAACACCAUUUCAGUGGAAAGUGCAGUAGAAGAGGCGGGCAGUUCGUCUCCGCCGGCCGCGCCUGUAGUGACGCGAGCGCAGCCCGCGUUCGAGAUGCCUCGCACACAUGAACAGAAGGAGGCCAUCAGGAGGAAGUGGCAAGCUAUACUUGGUGACGAAGUAGAGAUCGUGGUGGGCGUGGUGGUCCGCGGCGGCGGCGGGCUGGGCAUCUCGCUGGAGGGCACGGUGGACGUGGAGGGCGGGCGCGAGGUGCGGCCGCACCACUACGUGCGCUCCGUGCUGCCCGAGGGACCCGUCGGCCGCGCCAACGUGCAUCGACCCGGGGACGAGCUGCUCGAGGUGAACGGGCACCGACUGUUGGGCAUGAACCACCUAGAAGUGGUGUCGAUCCUGAAGGAGCUGUCGAGUGAAGUGUGCAUGGUGUGCGCGAGACCUCGCCCAGCGCCACCUAUCGACCUAGCACCACCUGCCGCCACACUCGUCAAGGCGAAAUCAGAUGGGAGUCUAGCAGGUGCAGGCGCAGAAGAGGGCGGUUCGCUGUCGGCGGGCGGCAAGGUGCGCUCGCGCAGCCUCGAGCCGCUCACCGGACUUGCUAUGUGGUCCUCUGAACCACAAAUUAUCGAGCUAGUGAAAGGCGAGCGUGGUCUCGGGUUCUCGAUCCUGGACUACCAGGACCCGCUGCGGCCGUCGCACACGCUGGUGGUCAUCCGCUCGCUGGUGCCGGGCGGCGUCGCGCAGCAGGACGGGCGCCUCAUACCCGGGGAUAGACUGCUCUUUGUUAACGAUCAGAACCUAGAAGACGCGAGCUUAGAACAAGCAGUGGCGGCUCUGAAGGGGGCCCCUCGUGGCGUGGUACGUAUCGGCGUGGCCAAGCCGCUGCCGCUCGCCGACGCGCCGCCGCCGCUGCCGCACACCGCGCCGCCCACGCAGCCUUAGACCACAGAAAACGAAACAGGACAAUGCAGAAGCCGACCUUGAAGAAAAAGAACUCGAGAGCGUGUGCAAAAUUUCAUCCGUAUCGAAGACCGGGAAGUGGGUCAAAUUGAGAUUCUAAGAUAUUCUUACAUACAUAGUUACAAGUGAAGCUAAUAUAAACGUGUUCAAAAAAACCAUCAACAUGUUCUAAUCGACUAGAUCGAAUUUGUACUAGGUCAGGCUUCUGCAUAUUUAUGUUUUCAAAAUAUUUGCUCAUUUAGACAUUCAGAUAUCGGGAAGAGUUGUCAUUAAAAUGCAGAUUUUAUUAAUUCUGCAAUACCACACAUCUCUCUCUGCCGAUGCUAUUUAUAUUAAUAGUCUUAUUAUUUACUGCGAUAUAUUAUUGUAAGUUCAAAUGUUUAUUCUCUUUAUUCUCGUUCGUGGCUAGUGUUUUAUUACGAACAUUUUAUUACUUGUGUGUAUUAUGGUUAUAAAAUACUUUGAAGCUUAUAAGUGAACAAUGUAUUACUUUCUGUGAGCACGUGUUCAGUUCUGAAACCUUUUGACCACCUGUAACGGUCAUAACCUGCAUUUUAUUGUGCAAUAAAGCCCAGAUUGUAGGUAUUUUUAAAUUACAUACAUAGUUGUUUGAAAAUUACAUUACAUUUUACAUUUGCGUACACUUGUAACAAUUCGAAACCGAGCGAUGGGUCGAUAGGACCGAGAUGGCUAAUGAUUGUCAAAAGGUGAAUUUUUAUUUAUCUUCAGCAUUCCAUUAAAAUAAAAAUCAUGACUUAAACGUAAUUGUGACAAUAUUGUAUGAUAAUGAAGUUGUACUUUAUCUACCUUUCUUGAGUAGAGGACAUAGUAAGCAUUGGGAUACACUGGAUAAACGGCGUAAUGAGAAAAGACGAGUUAGGAGAAAUAAAAGCCGUUCUAAAGGUGUGUAUUGUGUAUGCCAUUCAUCUGAUUAUAUCAUUGGGAUAGGAAUUUGAUUUUGAUGUCCUGAUAUAUUAUAUAAAUAGAUGUCGAUGAUGAUUUUAUUUUCUUUACCUUCCUCCUUGCGCCCCACCUCCAUUAUGUCCCAAAGCUAAUGUAACUGUGUUAUCGCGCCUUAUAUCAGCUGGCAAAUAGACUUCUCGUUCAUGUACUUAAUUGAAUAUUAUAGUAUUAUUCGUGUGAUUUUGUAUUCCAUAUAAGAAAUACUCGUAAAAUGUGAUUCAAGUCGUUUAUUUAUAGACAUAUCAAAAGUUUACAUAAAUUGAUCUUAACAUUCUGUGAUGCAUUCCGACACUUUAUGUACUUAACUGCCAAUCAUUGAAUUUGAACAAGCCUUUGUCAAUUUAUAAAAUGUUUAAAGUUGUUUUAUUAAUUAGAUAGGUAAUCAUUACUUAAAUGUAUUGAAUUUAUUCAUAGUAUUUUAAUGUUAGUUUAUUUAAAAGUAUUACAAAAAUAUCUACCUGAAUUGAUUAAAUUUUUCUUAUUAUCUUGAUGUUAAUUCCUUUACAAAUAUCAUCGUCCAUUCCAAUUUUAUUGGUAUGUGUUACUUUAGGAAUAAAUAAAACUUAAUAUUA